This 64-nucleotide microRNA precursor is filed under the name Bombyx mori (domestic silkworm). Its description in RNAcentral is "mir-2774 microRNA precursor family". It matches the Rfam family "mir-2774 microRNA precursor family". The record is from Rfam by way of RNAcentral. Lineage: Eukaryota; Metazoa; Arthropoda; Insecta; Lepidoptera; Bombycidae.
ACAACAUUCGGACCGUCGGUCUACCGAGCAAUAUCACCCGCUCGGUGAAAGAUACCUUUGUCGU